CAAUGUCGGUGCUGAUUGUCU
This 21-nucleotide small nuclear RNA is filed under the name Arabidopsis thaliana (thale cress). RNAcentral describes it as "snRNA_04250". The record is from RNAcentral. Lineage: Eukaryota; Viridiplantae; Streptophyta; Magnoliopsida; Brassicales; Brassicaceae.